UUUCCGUAGGUGAACCUGCGGAAGGAUCAUUACCGAGUGAGGGACUCUCAGGCCCGACCUCCCCCUCUGUGUAUUUUUGACCUUGCUGCUUUGGCGCGGUCGCCUCGAUGAGAGGCCGCCGGCAGCCCACCGCUUUGGGCCCGUGCCUCCCAGAAGCUCCUUUAAACUCUUAAUAAACCUGUCGUCUGAGUCAAGAUAUAAUAAAAAAAACUUCCAACUACGGACCUCUUGGUUGUGGCAUCGAGGAAGAAAGCAGCAGAUCGGAAGAUCAAACG
RNAcentral lists this unclassified non-coding RNA (275 nucleotides) under plant metagenome. RNAcentral's name for it is "partial contains small subunit ribosomal RNA, internal transcribed spacer 1, and 5.8S ribosomal RNA". The record is from RNAcentral.